RNAcentral lists this ribosomal RNA (933 nucleotides) under Halomonas caseinilytica. RNAcentral describes it as "bacterial SSU rRNA". It matches the Rfam family "Bacterial small subunit ribosomal RNA", at positions 56 to 988 of the family's 1533-position model. The record is from RNAcentral. Lineage: Bacteria; Pseudomonadati; Pseudomonadota; Gammaproteobacteria; Oceanospirillales; Halomonadaceae.
UGCAGUCGAGCGGAACGAUCCUAGCUUGCUAGGAGGCGUCGAGCGGCGGACGGGUGAGUAAUGCAUAGGAAUCUGCCCGAUAGUGGGGGAUAACCUGAGGAAACUCAGGCUAAUACCGCAUACGUCCUACGGGAGAAAGCAGGGGCUCUUCGGACCUUGCGCUAUCGGAUGAGCUUAUGUCGGAUUAGCUGGUUGGUGAGGUAACGGCUCACCAAGGCGACGAUCCGUAGCUGGUCUGAGAGGAUGAUCAGCCACAUCGGGACUGAGACACGGCCCGAACUCCUACGGGAGGCAGCAGUGGGGAAUAUUGGACAAUGGGGGCAACCCUGAUCCAGCCAUGCCGCGUGUGUGAAGAAGGCCCUCGGGUUGUAAAGCACUUUCAGUGAGGAAGAAGGCUUGUCGGUUAAUACCCGGCAAGGGAGACAUCACUCACAGAAGAAGCACCGGCUAACUCCGUGCCAGCAGCCGCGGUAAUACGGAGGGUGCGAGCGUUAAUCGGAAUUACUGGGCGUAAAGCGUGCGUAGGCGGCUUGAUAAGCCGGUUGUGAAAGCCCCGGGCUCAACCUGGGAACGGCAUCCGGAACUGUCAGGCUAGAGUGCAGGAGAGGAAGGUAGAAUUCCCGGUGUAGCGGUGAAAUGCGUAGAGAUCGGGAGGAAUACCAGUGGCGAAGGCGGCCUUCUGGACUGACACUGACGCUGAGGUACGAAAGCGUGGGUAGCAAACAGGAUUAGAUACCCUGGUAGUCCACGCCGUAAACGAUGUCGACUAGCCGUUGGGGUCCUCGAGACCUUUGUGGCGCAGUUAACGCACUAAGUCGACCGCCUGGGGAGUACGGCCGCAAGGUUAAAACUCAAUGAAUUGACGGGGCCCGCACAGCGGUGGAGCAUGGUGGUUUAAUUCGAUGCACGCGAGACCUUACUACCCUUGACAUC